UGCAAGUCGAACGGUGUCUUCGGACACAGUGGCGGACGGGUGAGUAACGCGUGAGAAUCUGGCUUUAGGUCUGGGACAACCACUGGAAACGGUGGCUAAUACCGGAUGUGCCCUUCGGGGUGAAAGAUUAAUUGCCUGAAGAUGAGCUCGCGUCUGAUUAGCUAGUAGGUGUGGUAAAGGCGCACCUAGGCGACGAUCAGUAGCUGGUCUGAGAGGACGAUCAGCCACACUGGGACUGAGACACGGCCCAGACUCCUACGGGAGGCAGCAGUGGGGAAUUUUCCGCAAUGGGCGAAAGCCUGACGGAGCAAUACCGCGUGAGGGAGGAAGGCUCUUGGGUCGUAAACCUCUUUUCUCAGGGAAGAACACAAUGACGGUACCUGAGGAAUAAGCAUCGGCUAACUCCGUGCCAGCAGCCGCGGUAAUACGGAGGAUGCAAGCGUUAUCCGGAAUGAUUGGGCGUAAAGCGUCCGCAGGUGGCAAUGUAAGUCUGCUGUUAAAGAGUGAGGCUCAACCUCAUAAGAGCAGUGGAAACUACAUAGCUAGAGUACGUUCGGGGCAGAGGGAAUUCCUGGUGUAGCGGUGAAAUGCGUAGAGAUCAGGAAGAACACCGGUGGCGAAGGCGCUCUGCUAGGCCGUAACUGACACUGAGGGACGAAAGCUAGGGGAGCGAAUGGGAUUAGAUACCCCAGUAGUCCUAGCCGUAAACGAUGGAUACUAGGCGUGGCUUGUAUCGACCCGAGCCGUGCCGUAGCUAACGCGUUAAGUAUCCCGCCUGGGGAGUACGCCGGCAACGGUGAAACUCAAAGGAAUUGACGGGGGCCCGCACAAGCGGUGGAGUAUGUGGUUUAAUUCGAUGCAACGCGAAGAACCUUACCAAGGCUUGACAUGUCGCGAAUCUCGGUGAAAGCUGAGAGUGCCUUCGGGAGCGCGAACACAGGUGGUGCAUGGCUGUCGUCAGCUCGUGUCGUGAGAUGUUGGGUUAAGUCCCGCAACGAGCGCAACCCUCGUUUUUAGUUGCCAGCAUUAAGUUGGGCACUCUAGAGAGACUGCCGGUGACAAACCGGAGGAAGGUGGGGAUGACGUCAAGUCAGCAUGCCCCUUACGCCUUGGGCUACACACGUACUACAAUGCUCCGGACAGAGGGCAGCAAGCAUGCGAAUGCAAGCAAAUCCCGUAAACCGGAGCUCAGUUCAGAUCGCAGGCUGCAACUCGCCUGCGUGAAGGAGGAAUCGCUAGUAAUUGCAGGUCAGCAUACUGCAGUGAAUUCGUUCCCGGGCCUUGUACACACCGCCCGUCACACCAUGGAAGCUGGUAGUGCCCGAAGUCAUUACUCCAACCUUUCGGGGAGGAGGAUGCCUAAGGCAGGACUGGUGACUGGGGUGAAGUC
Molecule: ribosomal RNA, 1390 nt
Filed under: Nostoc minutum ACSSI 168
Lineage: Bacteria; Bacillati; Cyanobacteriota; Cyanophyceae; Nostocales; Nostocaceae
Description: bacterial SSU rRNA
Rfam family: Bacterial small subunit ribosomal RNA
Source: RNAcentral